AACGCACCUUGCGCCUCUUGGUAUUCCGAGGGGCAUGCCUGUUUGAGUGUCAUUGAACUCUCAACCCCUCGGGUUUUACGACCCGAUCGGUUGGACUUGGGCGCUGCCGCUUUGCUGCCGGCUCGCCUCAAAGGUCUUAGCGGGAAUGGUCUCCAGCGUUCGGCGUAAUAAGUUUCGCCGUCCGCCCGACCGACGUCCGCUCACAACCCCCGUACUCUUUCGACUUGACCUCAAAUCAGGUAGGACUACCCGCUGAACUUAA
This 262-nucleotide unclassified non-coding RNA is filed under the name uncultured Tremellales. Its description in RNAcentral is "sequence contains 5.8S rRNA gene, ITS2, 28S rRNA gene". The stretch from base 1 to 52 matches the Rfam family "5.8S ribosomal RNA", at positions 103 to 154 of the family's 154-position model. Lineage: Eukaryota; Fungi; Basidiomycota; Tremellomycetes; Tremellales. The record is from RNAcentral.